AUGGCCAAUGGGACACUUCAGGAGCACCUGUACAACACCAACAAACCACCAUUGCCAUGGGAGCACCGCCUUGUCAUAUGCAUUGGAGCCGGACUGGGGCUGCACUACCUGCACAUGGGUGCCAAACAGGCCAUCAUCCACCGUGAUGUGAAGAGUACUAACAUUUUGUUGGAUGACAAGUGGGUGGCAAAGGUUUCGGACUUUGGGUUGUCUAAGGCUAGUAAAGACGUGGACAAUACCCAUGUGAGCACUGCUGUGAAAGGCACCUUUGGAUAUCUAGAUCCUGAGUACUUCCGCAGGCGGCGACUCACCAACAAAUCAGAUGUAUACUCCUAUGGGGUUGUUUUGUUUGAGGUUCUGUGCGCACGUCCAGCAAUUGAUCCUAAGCUUCCCGAGGAGCAAGUGGGCUUGCGUGACUGGGCGCUGUCUUGCCAGAGGAAAGGUGUGCUCGGUGAGAUCAUCGACCCCUAUCUGAAGGGCAAAAUCACCCCCCAGUGCUUCAGAAAAUUUGCAGAGACUGCGGAGAAAUGUGUUGCUGAACGUAGCAUAGAUCGGCCAUCUAUGAGUGAUGUUCUGUGGAGCCUCCAGAUCGCACUGCUGCUGCAGGAGGAUGACUGCAAUCUCUCCAAGGGGACACCAUUGUUGAACAUGUCAUCACUCAUGGCCACCAGGGUGCGACCAUCUUCAGGUUCAACAAUGAGCAUCUCAGGACAGAAAGUUGUAUUCUCAGAGAUCAUGCAUCCAGAUGGCCGAUAA
RNAcentral lists this ribosomal RNA (756 nucleotides) under Triticum aestivum (bread wheat). Its description in RNAcentral is "partial small subunit ribosomal RNA". The record is from RNAcentral. Lineage: Eukaryota; Viridiplantae; Streptophyta; Magnoliopsida; Poales; Poaceae.